UNGCAAUAACCAGCUCUGUAUGAGUAGCCA
This 30-nucleotide non-coding RNA is filed under the name Rattus norvegicus (Norway rat). Lineage: Eukaryota; Metazoa; Chordata; Mammalia; Rodentia; Muridae. The record is from RNAcentral.